This 467-nucleotide ribosomal RNA is filed under the name uncultured bacterium. RNAcentral's name for it is "partial 16S ribosomal RNA". It matches the Rfam family "Bacterial small subunit ribosomal RNA", at positions 29 to 507 of the family's 1533-position model. The record is from RNAcentral.
ACGAACGCUGGCGGCGUGCUUAACACAUGCAAGUCGAACGGAAAGGCCCUGCUUUUGUGGGGUGCUCGAGUGGCGAACGGGUGAGUAACACGUGAGUAACCUGCCCUUGACUUUGGGAUAACUUCAGGAAACUGGGGCUAAUACCGGAUAGGAGCUCCUGCUGCAUGGUGGGGGUUGGAAAGUUUCGGCGGUUGGGGAUGGACUCGCGGCUUAUCAGCUUGUUGGUGGGGUAGUGGCUUACCAAGGCUUUGACGGGUAGCCGGCCUGAGAGGGUGACCGGCCACAUUGGGACUGAGAUACGGCCCAGACUCCUACGGGAGGCAGCAGUGGGGAAUAUUGCACAAUAGGCGGAAGCCUGAUGCAGCAACGCCGCGUGCGGGAUGACGGCCUUCGGGUUGUAAACCGCUUUCGCCUGUGACGAAGCGUGAGUGACGGUAAUGGGUAAAGAAGCACCGGCUAACUACGUG